This 281-nucleotide long non-coding RNA is filed under the name Lathyrus oleraceus (garden pea). Its description in RNAcentral is "Pisum sativum (pea) long non-coding RNA (PSAT_LNC024417)". The record is from RNAcentral. Lineage: Eukaryota; Viridiplantae; Streptophyta; Magnoliopsida; Fabales; Fabaceae.
GAAAAGCCAUGCAUAAGUCAUUCAAUCCUUAGCCAAAUGAGGUGAUCCUAGACUUUUUAGAAAGGUGAGAUCAAGGGAAACAACUUUCAUGUUGAACAAAUUUACAUUUGAAGCUUGUAUCAUGGUGGAAUUUUAGGUGGAAGUUUGGAAAAUCAAACAUAAAUCAAAAUUUUCUAAGUACCAAGUCAAAGGUUCACUUCUUCCACCUUGAAUAACUUUUGGUCACACGUUUGACCUCAUUUGGAUUUGGCAUGACAGAGUUAUGCAUUUUAGAAGUUGAG